GUGAAUCAUCGAAUUUUUGAACGCAAAUUGCACUCUCUGGUAUUCCGGAGAGUAUACCUGUUUGAGGGUCAGUUUAAAUAAAAAUCUUUUUGUUUGCUGCCUUUCGUUGUGACGCACCAGAUUUUGAUCUUCUUACCUUCGGUUGAAUGACCUAGAAUUGUUCAUAAUUUUUUCGAACGUACUUAAAUAAUUUUACUUACUUUUGCUCUAUCGGUUACUAUAUGUAUUAAUCCUCAUUAUUCGCUCCUA
Molecule: unclassified non-coding RNA, 249 nt
Filed under: Glomeromycotina sp.
Lineage: Eukaryota; Fungi; Glomeromycota
Description: partial contains 5.8S ribosomal RNA and internal transcribed spacer 2
Rfam family: 5.8S ribosomal RNA (bases 1-71)
Source: RNAcentral